Molecule: ribosomal RNA, 110 nt
Filed under: Microcebus murinus (gray mouse lemur)
Lineage: Eukaryota; Metazoa; Chordata; Mammalia; Primates; Cheirogaleidae
Source: RNAcentral
GUCUACGGCCAUACCACCCUGAAUGCCCCGAUCUGGUCUGAUCUCGGAAGCUAAGCAGAGUCGAGCCUGGUUAGUACUAGGAUGGGAGAAAAUGCAAAUUGACAAAGGCG